UUAGAAGUUCAGUGUGGCCCGGCCUUGUUAGUACUUUGAUUGGAAACCACUUGGGAAUACUAGGGAUUUCGAGG
Molecule: ribosomal RNA, 74 nt
Filed under: Pogona vitticeps (central bearded dragon)
Lineage: Eukaryota; Metazoa; Chordata; Lepidosauria; Squamata; Agamidae
Source: RNAcentral